RNAcentral lists this long non-coding RNA (1000 nucleotides) under Cricetulus griseus (Chinese hamster). RNAcentral's name for it is "lncRNA (ENSCGRG00015043450.1)". The record is from RNAcentral. Lineage: Eukaryota; Metazoa; Chordata; Mammalia; Rodentia; Cricetidae.
CAAGCCAAGAGUCGGGUGUACAUGCAAUCAAGGGAAGCCUGAUUUGGUGGUGAGGAAGAGAAGUUCUUUUCCUUUUUAUUUCUUCUCUGACUUACAAAUCAAAAGUGUGUUAAUUUCUAUGUAUUUUGAACUUUCCAGCUUCCCUCCUAGCAUUCAUUUUUACUUUCAUUUCAUUGUGGCUGUGGCUGCCAGACAUCUAAGGAAUGCCGGCUACCUGCCUGUACUGUGUUGGGAUGAAGAGCACAACAGCAGUGUCCCAGGAAGACCUCUUGAAGCUGGGGUGCCACCACAUAGUACAUGCUUCUGCUCCAGCCUGAGAGGAGUUCUGUUUGCCUAGGAUACUCCACUGUCUUUGACUCUGGAAUUCUCAGAAACUGUACUAGAAAAUCUUACUUUCUGCAAGGGAACAAGGAAUGGACUUGCCAUUUUACCAUCUUAUGUCACCCACUACAGCAAACCCAGUUUUAACUCAGCCAAUGAGGGCUUGUAAAAAUUAAAACAUGCUGAGCAAUCACUAUUAGUGGUAGUGGUUAUUGAGUCAUCCAAAUUUGAACCAGUUUUGUCAAAUACCCAGGAAUGUGCUCAUGUUGACAGAAACAAGGGAUAGUAAUGAUCACAUUUAUUUGUACUGGGCUUUUUAUUUAGGAGAAAAUAAAGCACCCUGUUUCUAACUGGGUCUCCAAGUCGCCUAGAUUGGGUGUUUUUAGGUUCUUAUGCAUCUCUGGAUGGAUGACCCACAUUACUUUAAGAAUUCUGACACUGGAAUCAUGUCCAACGGCAGGUGGCCAGCAGUGCCUACAUACUACAUUUACUACUUAAAACACACUGAGAAAGACAGGCUUGGGGAAAAGAAUGUGAUUGAUCUGUGUUUAAUUAGUAUCUUUAAGGAUGGUGGUUUUUACGCCGGGCAUUGGUGGCGCACGCCUUUAAUCCCAGCACUCAGGAGGCAGAGGCAGGCGGAUCUCUGUGAGUUCAAGGCCAGCCUGGUCUCCAGAGUGAG